UCCGUAGGUGAACCUGCGGAAGGAUCAUUAGUGAAUAUAGGACGUCCAACUUAACUUGGAGUCCGAACUCUCACUUUCUAACCCUGUGCACUUGUUUGGGAUAGUAACUCUCGCAAGAGAGCGAACUCCUAUUCACUUAUAAACACAAAGUCUAUGAAUGUAUUAAAUUUUAUAACAAAAUAAAACUUUCAACAACGGAUCUCUUGGCUCUCGCAUCGAUGAAGAACGCAGCGAAAUGCGAUAAGUAAUGUGAAUUGCAGAAUUCAGUGAAUCAUCGAAUCUUUGAACGCACCUUGCGCUCCAUGGUAUUCCGUGGAGCAUGCCUGUUUGAGUGUCAUGAAUACUUCAACCCUCCUCUUUCUUAAUGAUUGAAGAGGUGUUUGGUUUCUGAGCGCUGCUGGCCUUUACGGUCUAGCUCGUUCGUAAUGCAUUAGCAUCCGCAAUCGAAUUUCGGAUUGACUUGGCGUAAUAGACUAUUCGCUGAGGAAUUCUAGUCUUCGGAUUAGAGCCGGGUUGGGUUAAAGGAAGCUUCUAAUCAGAAUGUCUACAUUUUAAGAUUAGAUCUCAAAUCAGGUAGGACUACCCGCUGAACUUAAGCAUAUCAAUAAGCGGAGGAAAAG
RNAcentral lists this ribosomal RNA (620 nucleotides) under Rhodotorula mucilaginosa. RNAcentral's name for it is "eukaryotic LSU rRNA". The stretch from base 184 to 337 matches the Rfam family "5.8S ribosomal RNA". The record is from RNAcentral. Lineage: Eukaryota; Fungi; Basidiomycota; Microbotryomycetes; Sporidiobolales; Sporidiobolaceae.